RNAcentral lists this ribosomal RNA (496 nucleotides) under uncultured bacterium. RNAcentral describes it as "bacterial SSU rRNA". It matches the Rfam family "Bacterial small subunit ribosomal RNA", at positions 29 to 518 of the family's 1533-position model. The record is from RNAcentral.
AACGAACGCUGGUGGCGUGUUUUAUACAUGCAAGUCGAGCGAGGACAGUAGCUUGCUACUGAGCCGAGCGGCGAACGGGUGAGUAACGCGUAAGCAAUCUGCCCCACAAUCGGGAACAACCGUGCCAACGCGCGGCUAAUGCCGGAUAUUGUGUCCUACUGCAUAGUAGGUUAACGAAAGAUUUAUCGUUGUGGGAUGAGCUUGCGUCCGAUUAGCUAGUUGGCGGGGUAAUAGCCCACCAAGGCGACGAUCGGUAGCCGGCCUGAGAGGGUGAUCGGCCACAUUGGGACUGAGAUACGGCCCAGACUCCUACGGGAGGCAGCAGUGGGGAAUUUUGGACAAUGGGCGCAAGCCUGAUCCAGCCAUGCCGCGUGCAGGAUGAAGGCCUUCGGGUUGUAAACUGCUUUUGUACGGAACGAAAAGCUCUCUCUAAUACAGGGGGUGAAUGACGGUACCGUAAGAAUAAGCACCGGCUAACUACGUGCCAGCAGCCGAC